Long non-coding RNA from Lycium ferocissimum, 737 nucleotides. RefSeq lists it as uncharacterized. Lineage: Eukaryota; Viridiplantae; Streptophyta; Magnoliopsida; Solanales; Solanaceae. The record is from RefSeq and is a predicted model, not a curated record. The transcript has 3 exons.
UCGGGUGAUCUGACUUCGGGAGGUCAUAACCCCAUCAGAAUUUGGGAAUUUGGAAAAACUUAUAAAAUGAAAGUUGUAGAUAAUUGAAAUACCUUUCCAACCAUAUAUUAUGGGCUUAUAGGUGACAUCUGGAUAAAGAGUUAUGGACAUUUUAAGGCAGAAAGGUCAAGCUGGGUAAUGAAUUCGGCCCAACCCGAUUUCAAGUCGGGUCAGGCCCAUUUCCUUGACUUUUAAUUGAUAUUUUCAGUCUUCUUUCUUCAUUUCCAGACCUGAAAUAUCCAGAACAUUUUAGAGAGAGAGAGAGAGAGAACUCCUAGGCUAAGAAAAGCCAUUUUUGACCAAAAUCGGAGCCCCGAAUUGCGAAGCUCGUGAAGAGAAAAGAGUUGUACGUUGCCUUGCUUUCAGUUUGAGCCAAAAAUCAGCUAAGGAGGAGAGUGUUGACUUGGUUGCUGCCUACUUAAGGUAUAUAUGCUCUUGUACAAGCUAAGAGGAAUUAUUUGACGAAGUGGACUUUGGUUGGUCUAUGGCGUAGAUGAUUUGACCUCCUCGAGUUGUGGUAGAACUUGUUGGGUGGUAAAACGCCGAGGUAAUGUGCGAGAUGAAGUAUGAAGAUGGCCAUUUGGAGUAGACUUUUUGGGAGCCCUUGUAAAGAUCACAUCUGCAUAUGCAUCUAGUUUUUUGGUAAAUUUUUGGGGACUUGUACAUGAUACAUGUGUGGCACUUAUGUAUGAAAUUUU